CAGUUAAAAAGCUCGUAGUUGGAUUUCUGUGGGGACGGAGCGGCCGGCCGCACAUCGCGGUUCGAGCUAGCGCUUUCCCUACAUCCUGCCGCGAACCGUGCUACCAUUAGUUUGGUGGCGCUGGGGAUCGGCUCGAUUACUUUGAGAAAAAUAGAGUGUUCAAAGCAGGCCACACGCCUUGAAUAAGUUAACAUGGAAUAAUAACUAAGGACUUCGGUUCUAUUUUGUUGGUGUUCGGGACUGAAGUAAUGAUUGAUAGGGACAGUUGGGGCGGUCAGUAUUCCAAAGCGAGAGGUGAAAUUCUUAGACCUUCGGAAGACUAACAGCUGCGAAAGCGUUCCGCAAGGAUGUUCCCUUUGAUCAAGAACGAAAGUUGGGGGAUCGAAGACGAUCAGAUACCGUCGUAGUCUCAACUAUAAACUAUACCAGCUAGGGAUCGGCCAACGUUAUUUUAUACCGACUUGGUCGGCACCUUAUGAGAAAUCAAAGCAUCUGGGUUCCGGGGGGAGUAUGGUCGCAAGGCUGAAACUUAAAGGAAUUGACGGAAGGGCACCACCAGCCGUGGAGCCUGUGG
Molecule: ribosomal RNA, 574 nt
Filed under: uncultured marine eukaryote
Lineage: Eukaryota
Description: SSU rRNA
Rfam family: Eukaryotic small subunit ribosomal RNA
Source: RNAcentral